RNAcentral lists this long non-coding RNA (715 nucleotides) under Canis lupus familiaris (dog). RNAcentral describes it as "lncRNA (ENSCAFG00000050228.1)". Lineage: Eukaryota; Metazoa; Chordata; Mammalia; Carnivora; Canidae. The record is from RNAcentral.
GAUAACAGAGUUAUCCUCAGAGGCCACAAGAUUUUCUUGGAGAGCUGGAGACCCACCCUGCUCAUGAUGGUGGGGGGAUUUUUUUUUUUUUUUUUUUCCCCACAGCAUAACAUUGGCCAAGCGCAAAAUCUUUUUUUGUUUUUCCCUAGACUCUAAGGAUACUGGUGAAUAUUAGCAUACUGGGCUCCAAGCUCUUAUUGCUUAUUUUCUGGAAUUGAACAUCAAUUGAUCUUCUGGAAGUGAGCCAUGCACUGGGGUGCAAUCUAGGGCAGUGAAAAACUCACCAAACGGUCUAGAAGGAGCCCCGUCUUGUCCCUGGGAGCCUUUCCUGCAAGGAGUGCUGGCUGAUAGAACUCCGAGAGAACUCCAGGCGAGGACUGUGGUGAUGGUGGAGUGGCUCAGGUGGCUUGAGGGGCAGCAGAGACAUGGAAACCCCUGCCAGACCCUUUUUAACCUGCAGGGUUCAUCUGCAGUGCCUCUGGAGAUUUGGCACACCGCAUCUCGUGUGGUCUCCACAUAGACCAGCCACCCCAUAAACAGGGAAGGCGGAUAUCAUUUGCCGAACGUUGAGUUCCCAGCCAGGGCCUUCCACUUCUUUGCUAUGAGGCUGGCUGGUCAGAAGCCAAGUCUGGUUCUUUCUCUCUGAAGUUAGCAAAAUAGAAUAUGGUGAGAAUAGAUUAAAAUGUUCUAAAAUUAAAUGCCCCGUCUCUAAAAA